CACCCCCACUGCCCUAUCAUGGUCUCCAUCGUUCAGAAGGUUCCCCAAUUCAUUAGAAGAAUGGCUGGAGUACGAAGAUUCUGUUGGGUCCAAACCCUUUUGAACUCAAGUCUGAUAAUAUGAUCAUCACGUCUGGUAAUAUGAGCAGGAACCAUUCAGUGAUCAAGAAAUGUGCUGCUCACUCCAUCAGGAGCUGGUAUCAGAGAUGAAGGAACCCCAACUACAAAUACCUGUGUAAACAUCCAGAAAACAACAAGAAGACACAGGGACACACAAGGAGAAGACUCCUCUCUCGUAUGAUGAUGGGGGCAGAGACAGAGAUGUCCAAGGAACACUGGGGCCACCAGGGGCUGGAAGAGACAAGGAAGAAUCCUCUCCUAGAGGCUUCAGAGGAGCAUGGCCAUGCCCACACUUUGACUUUGGGCUUCUAACUUGCCCAAGUGCAGGAGAAUAAAUUUCCUUUCUAAGC
Bos taurus (domestic cattle) is the source of this 469-nucleotide long non-coding RNA. Lineage: Eukaryota; Metazoa; Chordata; Mammalia; Artiodactyla; Bovidae. The record is from Ensembl.